Small nuclear RNA from Molossus molossus (Pallas's mastiff bat), 105 nucleotides. Lineage: Eukaryota; Metazoa; Chordata; Mammalia; Chiroptera; Molossidae. The record is from RefSeq and is a predicted model, not a curated record.
GUGCUCACUUCGGCAGCACAUAUACUAAACUUGUGAAUGAUACAGAGAAGAUUAGCAUGGUCCCUGCGCAAGGAUACAAACUUGUGAAAAAGGGAGAGCUGUCUU